AGGAUGAACGCUGGCGGCGUGCCUAACACAUGCAAGUCGAACGUCCUGUCUCGCAAGAGGCAGGGAGUGGCGGACGGGUGAGUACCACGUGGGUCAUCUACCGUGAGGUGAGGAAUACCGGCGAGAAAUCGCCGACAAAACCGCAUAGGCUCGAUGCAAGUCGAGCAAAGCUCGCUCGCAAGAGGGAGCGCCACACGAGGAGCCUGCGCCCGAUUAGCUGGCUGGUGGAGUAAUGGUUCACCAGGGCGACGAUCGGUAGCUGGUCUGAGAGGACGAUCAGCCACACUGGGAUUGAGAACGGCCCAGACUCCUACGGGGGGCAGCAGUGAGGAAUUUUCGUCAAUGGGGGCAACCCUGAACGAGCAACGCCGCGUGCAGGAAGAAGGUUUUCGGAUCGUAAACUGCUUUUCUCGGGGAAGAGAACGGACGGUACCCGAGGAAGAAGCCCCGGCUAACUACGUGCCAGCAGCCGC
Molecule: ribosomal RNA, 473 nt
Filed under: uncultured bacterium
Lineage: Bacteria
Description: SSU rRNA
Rfam family: Bacterial small subunit ribosomal RNA
Source: RNAcentral